CUACGGGAGGCACCAGUGAGGAAUAUUGCACAAUGGGGGGAACCCUGAUGCAGCAACGCCGCGUGGAGGAUGACGCAUUUCGGUGUGUAAACUCCUUUUAUAUGUCAAGAAAAUGACGGUAGCAUAUGAAUAAGCACCGGCUAACUCCGUGCCAGCAGCGCGCGGUAAUACGGAGGGUGCAAGCGUUACUCGGAAUCACUGGGCGUAAAGGACGCGUAGGCGGGUUGGAAAGUCAGGUGUGAAAUCCUACAGCUUAACUGUAGAACUGCACUUGAAACUUCUAAUCUAGAGUAUGGGAGGGGGAGAUGGAGUUAGUGGUGUAGGGGUAAAAUCCGUAGAUAUCACUAGGAAUACCUAAAGCGAAGGCGAUCUCCUGGAACAUUACUGACGCUAAGGCGUGAAAGCGUGGGGAGCAAACAGGAUUAGAUACCCGUGUAGUC
This 440-nucleotide ribosomal RNA is filed under the name uncultured bacterium. RNAcentral describes it as "partial 16S ribosomal RNA". It matches the Rfam family "Bacterial small subunit ribosomal RNA", at positions 339 to 795 of the family's 1533-position model. The record is from RNAcentral.